RNAcentral lists this ribosomal RNA (302 nucleotides) under Vibrio sp. UCD-FRSSP16_10. Its description in RNAcentral is "partial 16S ribosomal RNA". It matches the Rfam family "Bacterial small subunit ribosomal RNA", at positions 1243 to 1533 of the family's 1533-position model. Lineage: Bacteria; Pseudomonadati; Pseudomonadota; Gammaproteobacteria; Vibrionales; Vibrionaceae. The record is from RNAcentral.
AGGGCAGCCAACCAGCGAUGGUGAGCGAAUCCCAAAAAGUGCGUCGUAGUCCGGAUUGGAGUCUGCAACUCGACUCCAUGAAGUCGGAAUCGCUAGUAAUCGUGAAUCAGAAUGUCACGGUGAAUACGUUCCCGGGCCUUGUACACACCGCCCGUCACACCAUGGGAGUGGGCUGCAAAAGAAGUGGGUAGUUUAACCUUUCGAGGAGGACGCUCACCACUUUGUGGUUCAUGACUGGGGUGAAGUCGUAACAAGGUAGCCCUAGGGGAACCUGGGGCUGGAUCACCUCCUUAUACGAAGAU